Talpa occidentalis (Iberian mole) is the source of this 106-nucleotide small nuclear RNA. Lineage: Eukaryota; Metazoa; Chordata; Mammalia; Eulipotyphla; Talpidae. The record is from RefSeq and is a predicted model, not a curated record.
GUGCUCACUUUGGCAGCACAUAUACUAAAAUUGGAGUGAUACAGAGAAGAUUAGUACAACUCCUGUGCAAAGAUGACAUGCAAAUUCAUGAAGCUUCCAUAUUUUU